CAGAGUGAGACGCGCGCCUUCUCGAGGGGUUUCUCUCGUAAAGUUCGUACUUCCACGUCGUCAGACCCCCGUGCCGAAGGCGCACGCGGGCUCGCCUCAGGGGAGGGGCUGCCCACGCGGGUCGAGCUGUGCGUGCGCGCGUGUGUGUGGAACUUGGUCGUCCGCUCCUUGUGCCGUUGGAGGCGAAGGAACCGGGCGGGCUGGGAGUUUUAACGUGCCCGUUUUUGUGUUGCUUUUGCUGCCACUGUGAAAUUGGACGUGUCGCUGGAGAGCUGCGGCAUUCCCGCCGAAAUAUUUGCGGUCCGCAGCAGAGCGUUGAUGGCCUGCUCUGCUGGCAUUUGCCAUGCUCGCUGAAGGUUUAGUAAGUUAACCCAGUUUUAUAGAUUUUCACGACGCGGAGCAAUAAACUAAUCCUGGAAGCUGGGUGUGCCCAGUGGGUUUUUUAAAAAAACAAAACUACUACUACAUGGGCCGCUUGAAUCCAAAAAAUAACAUGAAACCAAUAAGCUGCAAUGAAGAACGCUGUGGAAAUGUAGCCAGCAUCUCUGAAGGAAUGAAUAGUGUUUCGACAUUACACUCCCCCCCCCAAGCAGCAGCAAUAGGCAGCCGUAUCCCGCCAAAAGUUUGUGGGAGUCAGCUGCAGACUUUAGUGUAAAUAGCUCUGUAAACGUCCCAAAGGUGCUUUUUUCAAAAGGUGACCUAGAUCAGGGGUCUGCAAACUUGGCUCUUUUAAGACUUGUGGACUUCAACUCCCAGAGCAAAGCUGGCUGAGGAACUCUGGGAGUUGAAGUCCACCAGUCAAAAGAGCCAAGAUUGCUGGCCCCUAACCUAGAUGAUUGAGAAUCUCCAUAGACAGCCCUGUAAACGAAAACUUCACUGCGAACAACCUCUCCCCCACCAGGUAGUUGGGAUUCAGGGAAGCCUUUAUACAGAAUGCACAUGAAUGCUUCGGUAUGUACACACACAGGCAGGGAUGUUUCUCCCCUGAUGCCAAAGUGUAACGUCUGAAUUGUUGAAACUGCUUAUGCAGUGAACCGUGGAAGGCAGGAAUGGGACUGGGCUCUGACUGCCAAAAUUAUUUUGGUCAGACUGCACACAAUAGUAAACAAUGGUAUUUUAAUAUACAGUACCAUGGAUGUUUUAAAUGUUUUGCUCUACUAUAUACCAUAUAAGCCACCAAAGGUUGACAGAUAUAUAACAGGUGAGUGCAUAUUAUUUCUAACAGCAGAAAAAAUAUCAAAUUAAAUCAGUUUGUAAUAUUGCAAGCAAUAUAUUCAGUAUUCUUAGAAUGCAUAGUUAAACAAGUCUCUUCAUUAAAAAAAUGUUUCUUGUGAUAUACACCCAGAAAAGGAAAGCAAAAGAUUUUAUGUUCACAUUAAACAAUGAUAUUUUAAAUUGAGUUUGCUGAGUUACUACAAUGUGAUACAUAGGGAUAAAAAACAAAACCUCCAUUCUAGGAGCUACUUAAACAGCUGAUAUACAGGUAGUCCUUAUGAUCACAAUUGAGCCCAAGAUUCCUGUUGCUAAGUAUUUGUUAAGUGAAUUUCCUUGCCACAGUUAGGUGAAAAACUGCAGGUUUGUUGAGUGAAUCUGGCUUCCCCAUUGACUUUGCUUAUCAGAUGGUCGCAAAAGGGGAUCACAUGACCCCGGGAACAUGGCAACCAUCAUAAAUAUGAAUCAGUUCCCAAGUGUCUGAAAUUUGGAUCACAUAAGCAUGGGAAUGGUGUAAAGAUCAUAAAUAUGAAAAACGGUCAUAAGUCACUUUUUUCAGUGCUGUUGUAACUUUGAAUGGUCACUAAGUGAACUGUUGUAAGUUGAGGACUACCUGUACAACAAUACCUUUCCUGAACGGCUCAGUUUUUAAGCAAGACUGACAUUAAGAGUAAAUGAAGAUAUCUUAGUUGCUUUAGCCUAGGAAAAGUGGCAAGAAAAGCAGCUUCUCUUAUUUACAAUUCUGUAGAGAUUGAUGCCCAAUUAUUCGUUAACAUGAAAGAAAAUAUUAAGGGAAAGAGGAAUACGUUGUUCUGCUUUUGUUUGGCUACUAAAUUGUGUUAUUCAUUUAAGUAUCUUGUAAGUAAUGAAUACUAUUGUAUUUGCAUUAUUUGCAUUGAUUUGAAAAUUUAAGUAUCUUUAGAUAUAAGCAGUUGGAUAAAAAAAUAAUGCAAACAAAUUUAAUGCCAGUAAGUUUUAAAAGUAAAAAAAAAAUGGUGGAUUUUUCUGUUGGCUAGACAUAGGCCUUCAAAUAAGCUUGCUUUAGUCGUUUUGGCUGGAAUUGGAGAUUUUUCCAUUUGUUGUGUCAUUGUGCAAUCUCAAAGUUACUUUUAAAGAGAAAGUAAAGAGAAGAGAAGGAAAACAAGAAACAAGAAAUUUUGCUCAACACAGGCAAGCCUUCUAGGAGCAUCUGUCCAACAUUCGCACGACUGUACAACAGGUCAGAUCCGUCCACGUGUCCCCUUGUUGCUUCUAUCUCAACUAUUGGGAAAAAUGAUACCUUGCAUAGCCAUUGUCCCUUGGGCAAGACUUCACUCUCGUCCCCUCCAGUGGCUUCUUUUACCCAGCCAAAGGACAGGCCUCAGCAGCUCCACCAAGCGGAUCAGGAUAAAUCCAACGGUUCACAAGUCCCUGGAAUGGUGGACAUCAGCAGCCAUAGAGAAGGGGAGUUCCUUCAGGGAACAUGUUGUGACCCAGGUUCCUGGACCCGGACUCCUGGACUCGGAUGAUUCAGAAAGUGAGGGAGAAGACCUGGCCAGCCCUGCUUCUCUUGAGCCCUUUCCCUCCCUGGCACCCACUCAAAGGGAUGGGGAGGGGCCGGCACAGCCUGAUUCCAUGGAGCCUCCUUCUGAUUUGGCAACGCCCCAAGAACAGUUUUGGAGCGAUGCAAGGUCACGUAGACGUAAUCGCCGUGCGCAGCAGCGGAAGAGUUGGGACAAAGCCAAGUCAUAAUUGUCAUGCAGUGACAUCUGCAGAGACUAUAAAU
Molecule: RNA transcript, 2977 nt
Organism: Ahaetulla prasina
Lineage: Eukaryota; Metazoa; Chordata; Lepidosauria; Squamata; Colubridae
Exons: 3
Source: RefSeq, a predicted model, not a curated record